UCAGAAUGGCUGCAUAUACUUCUACACC
Molecule: small RNA, 28 nt
Filed under: Bombyx mori (domestic silkworm)
Lineage: Eukaryota; Metazoa; Arthropoda; Insecta; Lepidoptera; Bombycidae
Description: piRNA piR-bmo-1377049
Source: RNAcentral